ACCCCCGUGAGUAUGCCCUCAAUCCCCCACCCGGGGACAAGGAGCGGGCAUCAGGCACAAAAUUUAGCCCAAGACGCCUAGCCGAGCCACACCCCCAAGGGAAUUCAGCAGUGAUAAACAUUAAGCCAUAAGUGAAAACUUGACUCAGUUAGAGCUAGUAGGGCCGGUAAAACUCGUGCCAGCCACCGCGGUUAAACGAGAGGCCCCAGUUGAUAAUAUUACGGCGUAAAGGGUGGUUAAGGAACACAACACAAUAAAGCCGAACAGCCCCCCGGCCGUCAUACGCUUCCGGGUGCUAGAAGCCCAACCACACGAAAGUAGCUUUAACAUAAUUUGCCUGACCCCACGAAAGCUGAGAAACAAACUGGGAUUAGAUACCCCACUAUGCUCAGCCAUAAACCCAGAUAUUUACGUACAAUUACAUGUCCGCCAGGGUACUACAAGCAUUAGCUUAAAACCCAAAGGACCUGACGGUGCCUCAGACCCCCCUAGAGGAGCCUGUUCUAGAACCGAUAACCCCCGUUAAACCUCACCACUU
Molecule: ribosomal RNA, 538 nt
Filed under: Acheilognathus tabira tohokuensis
Lineage: Eukaryota; Metazoa; Chordata; Actinopteri; Cypriniformes; Acheilognathidae
Description: partial 12S ribosomal RNA
Rfam family: Bacterial small subunit ribosomal RNA
Source: RNAcentral